UACGUAGGUGGCAAGCGUUGUCCGGAAUUAUUGGGCGUAAAGCGCGCGCAGGUGGUUCCUUAAGUCUGAUGUGAAAUCUCCGGGCUCAACCGGGAGAGGCCAUUGGAAACUGACAGGCUGGAGGGCAGUAGAGGUAGGCGGAAUUCCGGGUGGAGUGGUGAAAUGCGUAGAGAUCCGGAGGAACACCAGAGGCGAAGGCGGCCUACUGGGCUGCACCUGACGCUGAGCCGCGAAAGCCAGGGGAGCGAACGGG
Molecule: ribosomal RNA, 253 nt
Filed under: uncultured bacterium
Lineage: Bacteria
Description: partial 16S ribosomal RNA
Rfam family: Bacterial small subunit ribosomal RNA
Source: RNAcentral